This 515-nucleotide ribosomal RNA is filed under the name Fusarium oxysporum. Its description in RNAcentral is "eukaryotic LSU rRNA". The stretch from base 164 to 317 matches the Rfam family "5.8S ribosomal RNA". Lineage: Eukaryota; Fungi; Ascomycota; Sordariomycetes; Hypocreales; Nectriaceae. The record is from RNAcentral.
GCGGAGGGAUCAUUACCGAGUUUACAACUCCCAAACCCCUGUGAACAUACCACUUGUUGCCUCGGCGGAUCAGCCCGCUCCCGGUAAAACGGGACGGCCCGCCAGAGGACCCCUAAACUCUGUUUCUAUAUGUAACUUCUGAGUAAAACCAUAAAUAAAUCAAAACUUUCAACAACGGAUCUCUUGGUUCUGGCAUCGAUGAAGAACGCAGCAAAAUGCGAUAAGUAAUGUGAAUUGCAGAAUUCAGUGAAUCAUCGAAUCUUUGAACGCACAUUGCGCCCGCCAGUAUUCUGGCGGGCAUGCCUGUUCGAGCGUCAUUUCAACCCUCAAGCACAGCUUGGUGUUGGGACUCGCGUUAAUUCGCGUUCCUCAAAUUGAUUGGCGGUCACGUCGAGCUUCCAUAGCGUAGUAGUAAAACCCUCGUUACUGGUAAUCGUCGCGGCCACGCCGUUAAACCCCAACUUCUGAAUGUUGACCUCGGAUCAGGUAGGAAUACCCGCUGAACUUAAGCAUAU